UCCCCUCUCCAGUGAGAAUGCCCUNUAAUAUCUAGCCNNCGAUCAAGAGGAGCAGGUAUUAAGCACACUNNNNAACUAGUAGCUCAAGAUACCUUGCUUAACCACGCCCCCAAGGGAUACAGCAGUGAUAAAAAUUUAGCAAUGAACGUAAGUUUGACUAAGCUAUGCUACANNNNACNAGGGUUGGUAAAUUUCGUGCCAGCCACCGCGGUCAUACGAUUAACCCAAACUAAUAAACACCCGGCGUAAAGCGUGAUUAGAAUAUAANNGACAAAAANNNNNUAAAAUCAAAUAACAACUAAGCUGUAAAAAGUAAUAGUUGCAAACAAAAAUAAACAACGAAAGUGAUUUUAUAAUUUUCGAACUCACGAUAGCUAAGACCCAAACUGGGAUUAGAUACCCCACUAUGCUUAGCCUUAAACCUUAAUAAUUUCAUNAACAAAAUUAUUCGCCAGAGAACUACAAGCCAGAGCUUAAAACUCAAAGGACUUGGCGGUGCUUUAUACCCGCCUAGAGGAGCCUGUUCUAUAAUCGAUAAACCCCGAUAAACCUUACCACUCUUUGCCAACNUCAGCCUAUAUACCGCCAUCUUCAGCAAACCCUAAAAAGGAGCAAAAGUAAGCUCAAUCAUCACNCAUA
Molecule: ribosomal RNA, 639 nt
Filed under: Lepus oiostolus (woolly hare)
Lineage: Eukaryota; Metazoa; Chordata; Mammalia; Lagomorpha; Leporidae
Description: partial 12S ribosomal RNA
Rfam family: Bacterial small subunit ribosomal RNA
Source: RNAcentral